This 254-nucleotide ribosomal RNA is filed under the name uncultured bacterium. RNAcentral describes it as "partial 16S ribosomal RNA". It matches the Rfam family "Bacterial small subunit ribosomal RNA", at positions 524 to 776 of the family's 1533-position model. The record is from RNAcentral.
CACGUAGGCACCAAGCGUUGUCCGAAUUUAUUGGGCGUAAAGAGCUCGUAGGCGGUUCGGUAAGUCGGAUGUGAAAACUUUGGGCUCAACCCAAAGCGUGCAUUCGAUACUGCCGUGACUUGAGUUCGGUAGGGGAGUGGGGAAUUCCUAGUGUAGCGGUGAAAUGCGCAGAUAUUAGGAGGAACACCAGUGGCGAAGGCGACUUUCUGGCCUGUUCUUGACGCUGAGGCGCGAAAGCUAGGGGAGCAAACGGG